GACGAACGCUGGCGGCGUGCUUAACACAUGCAAGUCGAACGGAAAGGCCCUGCUGUUGUGGGGUGCUCGAGUGGCGAACGGGUGAGUAACACGUGAGUAACCUGCCCUUGACUUUGGGAUAACUUCAGGAAACUGGGGCUAAUACCGGAUAGGAGCUCCUGCUGCAUGGUGGGGGUUGGAAAGUUUCGGCGGUUGGGGAUGGACUCGCGGCUUAUCAGCUUGUUGGUGGGGUAGUGGCUUACCAAGGCCUUGACGGGUAGCCGGCCUGAGAGGGUGACCGGCCACAUUGGGACUGAGAUACGGCGCAGACGGCUACGGGAGGCAGCAGUGGGGAAUAUUGCACAAUGGGCGGAAGCGUGAUGCAGCAACGCCGCGUGCGGGAUGACGGCCUUCGGGUUGUAAACCGCUUUCGCCUGUGACGAAGCGUGAGUGACGGUAAUGGGUAAAGAAGCACCGGCUAACUACGUG
Molecule: ribosomal RNA, 468 nt
Filed under: uncultured bacterium
Lineage: Bacteria
Description: partial 16S ribosomal RNA
Rfam family: Bacterial small subunit ribosomal RNA
Source: RNAcentral